This 902-nucleotide ribosomal RNA is filed under the name uncultured bacterium. RNAcentral's name for it is "bacterial SSU rRNA". It matches the Rfam family "Bacterial small subunit ribosomal RNA", at positions 8 to 916 of the family's 1533-position model. The record is from RNAcentral.
AGAGUUUGAUCCUGGCUCAGGACGAACGCUGGCGGCGUGCUUAACACAUGCAAGUCGAACGCUGAAGCCUGGUGCUUGCACUGGGUGGAUGAGUGGCGAACGGGUGAGUAACACGUGAGUAACCUGCCCUGAACUUCGGGAUAAGCGCUGGAAACGGUGUCUAAUACCGGAUAUGAGCAGCUGUCGCAUGAUGGUUGUUGGAAAGACUUUGUCGGUUCUGGAUGGACUCGCGGCCUAUCAGCUUGUUGGUGAGGUAGUGGCUCACCAAGGCGACGACGGGUAGCCGGCCUGAGAGGGUGACCGGCCACACUGGGACUGAGACACGGCCCAGACUCCUACGGGAGGCAGCAGUGGGGAAUAUUGCACAAUGGGCGAAAGCCUGAUGCAGCAACGCCGCGUGAGGGAUGACGGCCUUCGGGUUGUAAACCUCUUUUAGUGGGGAAGAAGCGUAAGUGACGGUACUCACAGAAAAAGCACCGGCUAACUACGUGCCAGCAGCCGCGGUAAUACGUAGGGUGCAAGCGUUGUCCGGAAUUAUUGGGCGUAAAGAGCUCGUAGGCGGCUUGUCGCGUCUGCUGUGAAAACGCAAGGCUUAACCUUGCGCCUGCAGUGGGUACGGGCAGGCUAGAGUGCGGUAGGGGAGACUGGAAUUCCUGGUGUAGCGGUGGAAUGCGCAGAUAUCAGGAGGAACACCGGUGGCGAAGGCGGGUCUCUGGGCCGUUACUGACGCUGAGGAGCGAAAGCAUGGGGAGCGAACAGGAUUAGAUACCCUGGUAGUCCAUGCCGUAAACGUUGGGCACUAGGUGUGGGAUCCAUUCCACGGGUUCCGUGCCGCAGCUAACGCAUUAAGUGCCCCGCCUGGGGAGUACGGCCGCAAGGCUAAAACUCAAAGGAAUUGACGG